GAUGAACGCUGGCGGCGUGCCUAAUACAUGCAAGUCGAGCGAACGGACGAGAAGCUUGCUUCUCUGAUGUUAGCGGCGGACGGGUGAGUAACACGUGGAUAACCUACCUAUAAGACUGGGAUAACUUCGGGAAACCGGAGCUAAUACCGGAUAAUAUUUUGAACCGCAUGGUUCAAAAGUAAAAGACGGUCUUGCUGUCACUUAUAGAUGGAUCCGCGCUGCAUUAGCUAGUUGGUAAGGUAACGGCUUACCAAGGCAACGAUGCAUAGCCGACCUGAGAGGGUGAUCGGCCACACUGGCACUGAGACACGGUCCAGACUCCUACGGGAGGCAGCAGUAGGGAAUCUUCCGCAAUGGGCGAAAGCCUGACGGAGCAACGCCGCGUGAGUGAUGAAGGUCUUCGGAUCGUAAAACUCUGUUAUUAGGGAAGAACAUAUGUGUAAGUAACUGUGCACAUCUUGACGGUACCUAAUCAGAAAGCCACGGCUAACUACGUG
This 497-nucleotide ribosomal RNA is filed under the name uncultured bacterium. RNAcentral's name for it is "partial 16S ribosomal RNA". It matches the Rfam family "Bacterial small subunit ribosomal RNA", at positions 28 to 507 of the family's 1533-position model. The record is from RNAcentral.